UACGAGGGGGGCAAGCGUUGUUCGGAAUUAUUGGGCGUAAAGGGUGCGUAGGCGGCGGAGUAAGUUGGGUGUGAAAUCCCGGGGCUCAACCUCGGAAUUGCAUUCAAUACUGCUUCGCUAGAGUACUGGAGAGGAGGCUGGAAUUUACGGUGUAGCAGUGAAAUGCGUAGAUAUCGUAAGGAAGGCCGGUGGCGAAAGCGAGCCUCUGGACAGUUACUGACGCUGAUGCACGAAGGCCAGGGGAGCAAACGGG
Molecule: ribosomal RNA, 253 nt
Filed under: uncultured bacterium
Lineage: Bacteria
Description: partial 16S ribosomal RNA
Rfam family: Bacterial small subunit ribosomal RNA
Source: RNAcentral